Molecule: ribosomal RNA, 622 nt
Filed under: uncultured bacterium
Lineage: Bacteria
Description: bacterial SSU rRNA
Rfam family: Bacterial small subunit ribosomal RNA
Source: RNAcentral
AAAAACUCCGGUGGUAUGGGAUGGACCCGCGUCUGAUUAGCCAGUUGGCAGGGUAACGGCCUACCAAAGCGACGAUCAGUAGCCGGCCUGAGAGGGUGGACGGCCACAUUGGGACUGAGACACGGCCCAAACUCCUACGGGAGGCAGCAGUGGGGAAUAUUGCACAAUGGGGGAAACCCUGAUGCAGCGACGCCGCGUGAGUGAAGAAGUAUUUCGGUAUGUAAAGCUCUAUCAGCAGGAACGAGACAAGACGGUACCUGACUAAGAAGCCCCGGCUAACUACGUGCCAGCAGCCGCGGUAAUACGUAGGGGGCAAGCGUUAUCCGGAAUCACUGGGUGUAAAGGGAGCGCAGACGGCUGUGCAAGCCUGAAGUGAAAGGCGGGGGCCCAACCCCCGGACUGCUUUGGGAACUGUACGGCUGGAGUGCAGGAGAGGUAAGUGGAAUUCCUAGUGUAGCGGUGAAAUGCGUAGAUAUUAGGAGGAACACCAGUGGCGAAGGCGGCUUACUGGACUGUAACUGACGUUGAGGCUCGAAAGCGUGGGGAGCAAACAGGAUUAGAUACCCUGGUAGUCCACGCCGUAAACGAUGAUUACUAGGUGUCGGGGGGCAGAGGCCCUUCG